RNAcentral lists this unclassified non-coding RNA (519 nucleotides) under uncultured Glomus. RNAcentral describes it as "SSU rRNA". It matches the Rfam family "Eukaryotic small subunit ribosomal RNA", at positions 569 to 1090 of the family's 1831-position model. Lineage: Eukaryota; Fungi; Glomeromycota; Glomeromycetes; Glomerales; Glomeraceae. The record is from RNAcentral.
AGCAGCCGCGGUAAUUCCAGCUCCAAUAGCGUAUAUUAAAGUUGUUGCAGUUAAAAAGCUCGUAGUUGAAUUUCGGGAUCAGUUGAUCGGUCGUGCCUCGGUACGUACUGGUCAAAUUGAUUCCUACCUUCUGACGAACCACGAUGUCAUUAAUUUGAUGUCGCGGGAAAUCAGGACUGUUACUUUGAAAAAAUUAGAGUGUUUAAAGCAGGCUCGCGCUUGAAUACAUUAGCAUGGAAUAAUGAAAUAGGACGUUUGAUUCUAUUUUGUUGGUUUCUAGGAUCGACGUAAUGAUUAAUAGGGAUAGUUGGGGGCAUUAGUAUUCAAUUGUCAGAGGUGAAAUUCUUGGAUUUAUUGAAGACUAACUACUGCGAAAGCAUUUGCCAAGGAUGUUUUCAUUAAUCAAGAACGAAAGUUAGGGAUCGAAGACGAUCAGAUACCGUCGUAGUCUUAACCAUAAACUAUGCCGACUAGGGAUCGGAUGAUGUUAAUUUUUUAAUGUACUCAUUCGGCGUCCCG